This is a non-coding RNA of Sapajus apella (tufted capuchin), 2660 nucleotides long. Lineage: Eukaryota; Metazoa; Chordata; Mammalia; Primates; Cebidae. The record is from the annotation of a RefSeq genome assembly.
GUAAUUACUUAAUCUCCUUGAGCUUUGGGUUUUUUUUGUUUGUUUGUAAAUUGGAAACGGUACUAUCUCUAUUUCAUGACUUUUGUAUUAGAAAAUGUACAUAAAGAAAAAUGUAGUUUAGCACUUAGAUAUGUACACAUUUAUAAUUUGAGGGGGAUUCAAAUGUUGGUUUUUAAUAUUUGAAGAUUCAAAGAAAAGUGCGUUUCCUACCAAAAAUUACCAUCCCACCUGUAACUCUUCUAAAUUUGAAUAACAGCAGUUAACAGUUAGGCAGUCACUUCUGAAAGGUUGUCAAUUCUCUUUGUGUUCAGACUCAGAGGGAUUUCCUCAAUGUUUAUGAAGUUGGCCUGAAGAAACAGUUACUUCAACCCCUCUUUGCGAACCACAGGAAACGGAAUAUAGGGCAGAGUGCUUCUAGGGCAUUUAUAGGAGGUGGUCUCUGAUUGGCUGGGCAACCAGGAGCAGAAUCCUGUUUUCUGAAGCAGAAUAUUUCCACAGAUUUUGGCUGCAAAACAUUUUUCUGCUGAGAGCACCUGAGCAGGGAACAUGGAGAAGAAUCCUUUGGCAGCCCCAUUACUAAUACUCUGGCUUCAUCUUGACUGCGUGAGCAGCAUAACGAACGUGGAACAAAGCCCUCAGUCACUGCGUGUUCAGGAGGGAGACAGCACCAAUUUCACCUGCAGGUUCCCUUCCAGCAAUUUUUAUGCCUUACACUGGUACAGAUGGGAAACUGCAAAAAGCCCCAAGAACUUGUUUGUAAUGACUUUAAACGGGGAUGAAAAGAAGAAAGGACGAAUAAAUGUCACCCUUAAUACAAAGGAGGGUUACAGCUAUUUGUACAUCAAAGGAUCCCAGCCUGAAGACUCAGCCACAUACCUCUGUGCCAUUACACAGUGCUAUUCAGACACCUGCAGCCCAUUCGCAAACCUGUGGCUGGUGUUGCACUGCUACUCGGUUUCGACAAAGAACUGUGAGUAGGAUGGAAAAGAUAGGUUGGAAAAGACAAAUUCCUUGAAUUACAGUUUUUUUUCAAGAGGAUUAUGGAAACAGAAAAAUAAGCAUGCUAGUAAUCACAGCUAAUUACCACAAAAGCUAAUUAAGUAAACCUAUUUUUUAUGAUAGAUAUCAGAGUGCUAAUGAAGCAUAACACCUUACCUGGUAACUUGGCUGUUACUAAACAAUACUAACCCCAGCUCCCAACAACACAAUAACUACGUCAUUGACUCAGACCCAUCGUCUGCUCCUUUGGCAUGAUUCUGAAAGAACCCAAUAGUCACUCAAUCCUAUCUAAAACAAUUGGGUAAAUAAAGGUAAUGUUUACCCCCUCAUUGAUCCUAUGUCCUAAAAAUGAGUUCUUCUAUCAUAUUUUUUCCACAAGCACAAAUGGAGCAUGUGGCAUGCCCCUUCCUCACACACCUGGCAAGGAAAUAUGCACGUUUAAUACCAGAGCGAGUGAUGUCGCCUCCUUUAAUCCACUGGGGAUUUUGGUUUUGCUUCAGUUCAACUUUCCCCCUACAUGAACAUUUGCAUUUUUAUUUCUUCUCACAUGUGGCUAUUUUCAUUUUUAAAUAUCACUCACAAUAUCAUAAAGGAGCACUGAUGAAGGCUCUUCGCUAUUAAUAUGGUCUAUCCCCCCGCCUGUACUGUGAUUGUGAUAUUGGAUGACCAACUGAACUCUAUUAUCAAAGUCUCUUCAUUUGUAAUUUCCAGGUAUAUGAAGCAGGUUGAGUGUCUGGUGCUCUGCUCUUUCUGCAGAUUUCCAAACAACCCAUCAGUUUAAGGUUCCAUUGGUAUUCUAGAGGUCUCUAAUUCCAAGCUUCCUUGGGGGUUAAGAUGAAGUAACUUGCUUUUGGUCCUCUCAUCUAAAAGCUAGAGUUUCAACUUUCUCUAAACAUCUACAAUUAAUCAUUUCUUAUCCAACUCCUGUCCAGUUUCCUAAAUUAUGCUGCUAUUGCACUUUCUCUCUCUUUUGUGAAUUUGUUUUUUAAAUCUUAUUAUUGUUAUCACAUAUUUGGAAAAAAAACUAUAUAUUUAAAAAUAAUAUUGGAGUGUAUACACAUCCCUUAGACUGGAUCCAUUUAGAGAUAUAUACAUAGAAAUAUUUUUUUCAAAAUUUAUUCACGUGGUAGUAAUGAAUCUAUUUGACUAUCAGAUUGGGAGAGGCUAAAUUUGUAAUAUUAUCUGAACGUAUACGGAAUUGGGAGCAUAUAGCUCAGGAAUAAGUGCAGAGAGGCUACAGUUCAUUGUAUACUAGUGUUGGUGGAGAAGAACUACACAAAAGAAGACUGAUCACUCUUCCAGCUGCUGGACAAAUUUCCAAACCAGCUCUCCAUUAUUAUUGUCAAAAAGAUCAAUGGAAGAAUUUCUAAUAUUUCCAGCAAUGAUCUUGUAGUUUGAACUAACUCUGAAUUGGCAGAAUCAAAAGGCUGGAUAAAAGAAAAGAUGAACCUCUGGCUCAUUUGCAUGUGGCUGCAACACAAUGCCUCAGUCUCCUUCAUAUCAAAGCACACAUAGAAAUUGAUUACGUUCAUGCAACACUUCAGUGUGGAAUGAUGCUGCUUGAAACCAGCCCAUGAUUCCAACUUCCUUGAGAACUCUGCCUGCCUUAGGCUGCGAUGAUAUAGAGAUCUUCCCACACACCUGAUCAAUUCCUGGAUAUA